CAGUCGCCGCGGUAAUACGGAGGGUGCAAGCGUUAAUCGGAAUUACUGGGCGUAAAGCGCACGCAGGCGGUCUGACAAGUCAGAUGUGAAAUCCCCGGGCUUAACCUGGGAACUGCAUUUGAAACUGUCAGACUGGAGUCUUGUAGAGGGGGGUAGAAUUCCAGGUGUAGCGGUGAAAUGCGUAGAGAUCUGGAGGAAUACCGGUGGCGAAGGCGGCCCCCUGGACAAAGACUGACGCUCAGGUGCGAAAGCGUGGGGAGCAAACAGGAUUAGAUACCCCUGUAGUCCCUGUCUCUUAUAC
Molecule: ribosomal RNA, 301 nt
Filed under: uncultured bacterium
Lineage: Bacteria
Description: partial 16S ribosomal RNA
Rfam family: Bacterial small subunit ribosomal RNA
Source: RNAcentral